CAGAAUGUCCCUAACAUGUUUCAGGGUGGUGGGUUACUUUUUUUAUAAUUUCCUUUUCUUCCAAAAAGGUCCAUUAAGGGCACUAGUACAUUCGUAAUCCAAACACCCUCACGAACACCUUGUGACGUUGUGUGCUUUCAGGCGAGCAGCCCAGGGCCCGCCCAGGAUGAGGUACAGUAGAGGAGGUGCCGACUGUCAAACGCUGAAAAGUUUCCAAUAACAGCUGGCCUAGCGCUCGGCGGGAGGGAGGCGACUGCUCGGAAGAGCCGUCCCACGUGCUUUCGGGGAAAUAGCCUGGGAGCGAGAAGCAGCGCGACUGAGAGGAAACCGAAAAGCGAAAGUAGAGACAGAGGGAGCAGUACGCAGGCGCGGCCCAGGGGCUUUCCAGCUGACCGCCCGCUGCGCCGCGGGUACCGCCCCCCUCGCCCCUCGCAACCUCCCGGAGAGCGACUUCCGUACAUUGCUUAAGGGGACCAACCUAGGACCUCCAGUGUGUGAAGGGACACACCUGACUGGACCACAAGUCUCCAGACCUCCUGAGAAAACUGGGCUUGUGGAGAGAAGUAGAGACUGGAAAAUGCACCUUGAAUUAGCUUGUGGUCCUACAUCAAACUGACACCUUCACCCAAAGAAUACUGUCAAGAGCUUGCAAAAGCAUAAGAGGAGUGGCCCUGGGACAGGAGAGGUGUCCCUGGCAGUGAUGCCAGCAGCUGUGAAUCCUGAAGCUGGAACAGAGCUGACAUGGCAACCAAGAGGCUUCCUAAUUCACCUGGGAAUUGCUGCUGUUAAUACCCUGUCGUUGCUUCCAUCUUGUAUUCAGUGUGAUGACUCUUACUUGCGAGAACUCAGGAUGUUCACUUAUUCAGUUUCCAUCAAGCCUUCCUGCUGGUUUGUGAGUAAUGUGUAUGUGACUUUGUUAUUUUUCACCUAUUGUGCAAUCUUUACACUUAAAACUUCUAGAGUCAAAAUCAUAAGUAACACAACAGAAACAAAACCGGAAAUGAAACACAUACAAAUGAGUCUUUCAUUAAUAUUAUAUUAACACUGGUUUCUUAAAGUGUUUUAUCUCACAAGUUUAUCAGAAGCUUGGGUCUCUAGCAUUUCGAUGACAUUCCCAUUUGGGGGUAUCAUAAGAAUGAGAAGAAAGCUUCCUAUUUAAUCAUUUCCUGGAAACUGGUAUAUACAAAGCUGAAGAAACCAGAUGUGAUUGUUGGCCAAGAUUAGUCUUUAAAACUUUUCCAUUUGCUUCCUUCUUUUGAGUGUCAAGAGUUUAUCUUGUCAUUCAGCAGAAUAGGGAGACUUCAUC
Long non-coding RNA from Bubalus bubalis (water buffalo), 1306 nucleotides. RefSeq lists it as uncharacterized. Lineage: Eukaryota; Metazoa; Chordata; Mammalia; Artiodactyla; Bovidae. The transcript is spliced from 4 exons. The record is from RefSeq and is a predicted model, not a curated record.